UCUGUCGCUCUAUGCACAGCAUAAAGAGGAAAGUCCGGGCAACGCAGAGCAUCGCAUUUUCUAACGGAAAGCCGGCGGCGACGUCGGGGAUCAAUGUGACAGAAAACAACCGCCGGUGCACACAGUGUCAACGGUAAGGGUGAAAAGGCGGGGUAAGAGCCCACCGGCCCGCAUGGCGACAUGCGGGGCCGCACAUCCUGCGAGUUGCAAGGUCAAAUAUACCGGCAGCAAAGGGCUGCUCGUCCAUUGUCGGGGGGUAGACUGCUAUAGUACGCCGUGCAAACGGCUACAAAGAUAAAUGACAGACACUCCGGCCCGGCCGGAGCACAUAACCCGGCUUACAGCAUCU
RNAcentral lists this RNase P RNA (349 nucleotides) under human gut metagenome. Its description in RNAcentral is "Bacterial RNase P class A". It matches the Rfam family "Bacterial RNase P class A". Rfam says of the family: Ribonuclease P (RNase P) is a ubiquitous endoribonuclease, found in archaea, bacteria and eukarya as well as chloroplasts and mitochondria. Its best characterised activity is the generation of mature 5'-ends of tRNAs by cleaving the 5'-leader elements of precursor-tRNAs. Cellular RNase Ps are ribonucleoproteins. The record is from RNAcentral. RNAcentral also lists the same sequence under 1 other name.